GAGAGCGCGGCUCGAGAGGGCCGCGCUAGUCGGGACCCGGUCAUUGUUGACGCCGAUCGGGAUCAGCCGGCAAGACCGUCAAAUUGCGGGGACGCGUUGCCAGGCCGUCGGUAGGGCCUUGUCGGGGAAACCCGUCAAGGCACCCGGGCUAAUCACCCGGGGUAUCCUAAGAACCCGACGGAUAGACGCUAUCCGCAGCCAAGUCCUAAGUGCCUGAUCCAGGCAUACGGAUGCAGUUCACAGACUAAAUGUCGGUCGGGAGCCGCUCGGCUCCUUAAGGUAUAGUCGGACCGCACCGAGAGGUGUCC
Molecule: intron RNA, 308 nt
Organism: Coccomyxa subellipsoidea C-169
Lineage: Eukaryota; Viridiplantae; Chlorophyta; Trebouxiophyceae; Coccomyxaceae
Rfam family: Group I catalytic intron
About the family: Group I catalytic introns are large self-splicing ribozymes. They catalyse their own excision from mRNA, tRNA and rRNA precursors in a wide range of organisms.
Source: Rfam